This 401-nucleotide ribosomal RNA is filed under the name uncultured bacterium. Its description in RNAcentral is "bacterial SSU rRNA". It matches the Rfam family "Bacterial small subunit ribosomal RNA", at positions 356 to 774 of the family's 1533-position model. The record is from RNAcentral.
GGGGAAUAUUGGACAAUGGGCGAAAGCCUGAUCCAGCCAUGCCGCGUGAGUGAUGAAGGCCUUAGGGUUGUAAAGCUCUUUCGCCAGGGACGAUAAUGACGGUACCUGGAUAAGAAGCCCCGGCUAACUUCGUGCCAGCAGCCGCGGUAAUACGAAGGGGGCUAGCGUUGUUCGGAAUCACUGGGCGUAAAGCGCAUGCAGGCGGAUCGUUAAGUCGGGGGUGAAAGCCCGAGGCUCAACCUCGGAACUGCCUUCGAUACUGGCGAUCUUGAGUCCGGGAGAGGUGAGUGUAACUCCGAGUGUUGAGGUGAAAUUCGUAGAUAUUCGGAAGAACACCAGUGGCGAAGGCGGCUCACUGGCCCGGUACUGACGCUGAGAUGCGAAAGCGUGGGGAGCAAACA